AUAGUGAGGUGGUUGUGUGUAGUGUACUGUAUAGUGAGGUGGUUGUGUGUAGUGUACUGUAUAAUGAGGUGGUUUGGUGUAGUGUCCUAUGUAAUGAGGUGGUUGUGUGUAGUGUUCUGUAUAAUGAGGUGGUUUGGUGUAGUGUUCUGUAUAAUGAGGUGGUUGUGUGUAGUGUCCUGUAUAGUGAGGUGGUUUGGUGUAGUGUUCUGUAUAAUGAGGUGGUUGUGUGUAGUGUCCUAUGUAAUGAGGUGGUUGUGUGUAGUGUACUGUAUAGUGAGGUGGUUUGGUGUAGUGUACUGUAUAAUGAGGUGGUUUUGUGUAGUGUUCUGUAUAAUGAGGUGGUUGUGUGUAGUGUACUGUAUAAUGAGGUGGUUGUGUGUAGUGUCCUAUGUAAUGAGGUGGUUGUGUGUAGUGUUCUGUAUAAUGAGGUGGUUGUGUGUAG
This is a long non-coding RNA of Oncorhynchus keta (chum salmon), 442 nucleotides long. RefSeq lists it as uncharacterized. The record is from RefSeq and is a predicted model, not a curated record. NCBI's taxonomy places the organism in Eukaryota, Metazoa, Chordata, Actinopteri, Salmoniformes, Salmonidae. The transcript has 3 exons.